AUUAAAGGAAAAAACAUUAAACCCUGACGACGGAAUCAUAACACAUUAUGAGAGAAGCCCAUUGUGAGUCAGUCUGGAUGCGACGAAGUUGUAGUUUUAAUGGUAUCAUGAAAAUGGCCACGUUAUGCUCACGUAUGUUGUUUCGUGACAAAGAAAUGUCAUGGGACAGCAUCGCACUGUACUUCAACCGCCACCUACACCAGUUUCGCUCCGGCUCGUUAAAGGAAUCGAUCAGUCUGCAACGAUCAAUCAAGAUCACGUAGUCCGGCACGUCAGCAAAUCUUUUCGGCGUUGUGAAACGAAGCGAAAGGACCUCCCCGUUCUGACGACGAAGAAGGCUUGAUUAAUGAGACAGUCGUCGGGGGACAAGGGACAACGCGGCAACUGCCGGGAUAAAUAGACGACGAUAAAAAUGGAGUAGUAAUUAAUUUCGGACAGCAGCAGUGAAGGGAAAAUCGUCACCCUGGUUGAUGAUACCAUCGUGCUCGAGGACGCUCGAGACCUUAUGAAGGAAAGCUUAAC
RNAcentral lists this unclassified non-coding RNA (522 nucleotides) under Bombus terrestris (buff-tailed bumblebee). Its description in RNAcentral is "misc RNA ENSBTSG00005036326.1". Lineage: Eukaryota; Metazoa; Arthropoda; Insecta; Hymenoptera; Apidae. The record is from RNAcentral.